RNAcentral lists this ribosomal RNA (192 nucleotides) under uncultured bacterium. RNAcentral describes it as "partial 16S ribosomal RNA". It matches the Rfam family "Bacterial small subunit ribosomal RNA", at positions 335 to 524 of the family's 1533-position model. The record is from RNAcentral.
ACUCCUACGGGAGGCAGCAGUAAGGAAUAUUGGUCAAUGGGCGGAAGCCUGAACUAGCCAUGCCGCGUGCAGGACGACUGCCCUAUGGGUUGUAAACUGCUUUUGUCCAGGAAUAAACCUAGAUACGUGUAUCUGGCUGAAUGUACUGGAAGAAUAAGGAUCGGCUAACUCCGUGCCAGCAGCCGCGGUAAU